RNAcentral lists this non-coding RNA (24 nucleotides) under Arabidopsis thaliana (thale cress). The record is from RNAcentral. Lineage: Eukaryota; Viridiplantae; Streptophyta; Magnoliopsida; Brassicales; Brassicaceae.
GAAUGUACCUUAUGACCCGAAUGC